This 372-nucleotide ribosomal RNA is filed under the name uncultured organism. Its description in RNAcentral is "bacterial SSU rRNA". It matches the Rfam family "Bacterial small subunit ribosomal RNA", at positions 526 to 896 of the family's 1533-position model. The record is from RNAcentral.
CAGAGGCCUCGAGCGUUAGGCGGAAUCACUGGGCUUAAAGCGUGUGUAGGUGGAUGCCUAAGUGCCUUGUGAAAUCCCACGGCUCAACCGUGGAACUGCUUGGCAUACUGGGUGUCUUGAGCCACUUAGGGGUUACCGGAACAAACGGUGGAGCGGUGAAAUGCGUAGAUAUCGUUUGGAACGCCAAUGGUGAAAACAGGUAACUGGGAGUGUGCUGACACUGAGACACGAAAGCCAGGGGAGCGAACGGGAUUAGAUACCCCGGUAGUCCUGGCCGUAAACGAUGUCCACUAGAUCGUGGCAGCUCUGACGUUGUCAUGGUCGAAGCAAAAGUGCUAAGUGGACCGCCUGGGAAGUACGGUCGCAAGGCUA